CUAUAGGAUCAGCUCAUUGCAGUGCAUUCAGUGAUCGAUUCGGAGAGGAUUCUCGUGGGAAAUUCGUAGUGAUUGAUCCAUCUCUAGACACUAACUACGCAAAUGAGCUAAUCAGACAAUGUCCUGCAGGAGCAAGUGAAUCAAUCACAGUUAAAAAUGAUCCUGAAACCUCCAUUACUUUUGAUAAUCAGUAUUACCGAAAUCUUUUAACCCACAAAGGGCUCUUCCAAUCGGAUUCUGUUCUUAUAGAGGAUGAAAGAACGAGGAAACAAGUAGAGGAAUUUGCAAAUGAUGAAAGUAUGUUUUUU
RNAcentral lists this long non-coding RNA (308 nucleotides) under Jatropha curcas. Its description in RNAcentral is "long non-coding RNA (JCUR_LNC001831)". Lineage: Eukaryota; Viridiplantae; Streptophyta; Magnoliopsida; Malpighiales; Euphorbiaceae. The record is from RNAcentral.